UUCCUUUUCAGAUUGAUAACACGUUAAUACAGAGAUUAUAGUAUCAGCUAAACAUCAUUAAAUCAAUAAAAGAGGAAUUAGGGUAAAGUUUGGUGACUAUUGACCUUACGUGAACGAGCCUUCUCCCUCCUUCAUGUUCAAAUCGACGACGACGGCGCACGGAAACGGCACCGGAGCUUCACUCCUCUGUUCAAUACUUCCGAUCAAGCAAAGGUGUACUCACGUCAUUCAUCUCUCCGAGCUCAUCUCUCUCGAUAUUAGCCGUGAACAAUCGAAGCAAAUCCACAUCGCCUUUCAUCUCAAGUCUCUCCGAUGCGUUUCAUCUCCGUCGAGAUCUUUCUCCGCCGUGAUGAACACAACGACAACGGCCUCUUCUCCGCCUCACUAUAGCUUCCUCUCCGACCAUGGCGGCGUUGUUAUUUCUCUUCGAAAAAAGGUUCGAUGAAGAUGUAAAUGAAUCGGAAAUGUGAUGAUUGGAACGUUGAUGACGAUGAGGCUGAUUCAAGAUGAUGAUGAACGUUGUUGAUGAACAGCGACGGUGAUGAUUGAAUUAAGGUGUGGAGAAGAUGAAGAAAGAAGAGUGGUGCUGAUUGUGGAGAUGAAGAUCCGAAUCGAUUACGAGAAAAGGAUUUUGUUGAAGUUUCAUUGCCGUUUGUUGAUGAUGCUAUUGAAGGAUUGAAUACGGUUAUGGUGAGUUCAUGAUGAAGCGAUGAUGAACGUGAAUUGGUGAAGAUUCAAGAUGAUCGGUUAUGGUGGUGAUUCUUCAGAUGUUGAAGAUUGAUAGCAAGGUUGAUGAUUAUGACUGAAGGUUGAAGAAUUGAAUGGAGAAUGAUGAAGGUUCCAAGCGUGAAUUCAGAGAGAGAGCUUCGGUUCUUUUUUCAUUAUGCAAGGUCCGGUUUUUUUCUUAUGCAGAAUUGGUUUAUUUUGAAGGUGGGCCCUUGGUGCAUGGGUCAAUUUUUAACUUGAAGCAAGCUGGCUUUUGGAUAUGUAUUUGGAAAUUCUUGAAUACGUAAACACAUGACAUCGGAUUAGAAAAUUAGGAAUAGGUUUAUGAUUUGAUUCUUUUUGUUGUAAUUUGGAAAUGGAAUUUGAAUUGGGAUGUAAUUGUGAACUUGGACUUUGAACAUUUGAACUUUUUGUAAUAGAAUAGACAUGGUAUUAACACUUGAAUUUGAAUAUUGAACUUGAACCUAAUGGUCUAAAAUCCUGACUUUGAAUGAACGAUGUUCGAAUCGAAACUUGAAUGAAUAUUUUUCAAUGAAUAACUUUUGAUCCACUCGCAAACCUCAAUGAACCUCUAAUUCAAUUCAAUUCAUCAAUCUAACUCAAAAUCGUACGAUAAGUCACCAAUAAAUUGAAAGCAUAAUGGCGCCUUGAACACGAUGCUCUCUUUAAGUUCACAACCUUGUACCCUGACUUAUUAUCUUGCAAUCCAUCUCACAGGCCCUUGACUUAAUGUUCUCGAAACAAUAGAAACUCUUUAAUUUUCUCUUGAUUGCUUUUCGAACGACGAAAUAAACGUCGUCCAUAAAUUAUGGCACAAAGAAGAGGGCAAAUUUUGGGGUGCAACAUGCAAUUUAACCUGAUUGGUAUUCAAUGAUAAGAGAUAGAGAU
Long non-coding RNA from Vicia villosa (hairy vetch), 1614 nucleotides. RefSeq lists it as uncharacterized. NCBI's taxonomy places the organism in Eukaryota, Viridiplantae, Streptophyta, Magnoliopsida, Fabales, Fabaceae. The transcript has 3 exons. The record is from RefSeq and is a predicted model, not a curated record.